GAGUUUGAUCCUGGCUCAGAUUGAACGCUGGCGGCAGGCCUAACACAUGCAAGUCGAGCGGAAACGGCAGUAUUGAAGCUUCGGUGGAUUUACUGGACGUCGAGCGGCGGACGGGUGAGUAACGGCUGGGAACCUGCCCUGACGAGGGGGAUAACCGUUGGAAACGACGGCUAAUACCGCAUAAUGUCUUAGAUUCAUUAGAGCUGGGACCAAAGGUGGCCUCUACAUGUAAGCUAUCGCGUUGGGAUGGGCCCAGUUAGGAUUAGCUAGUUGGUAAGGUAAUGGCUUACCAAGGCAACGAUCCUUAGCUGGUUUGAGAGGAUGAUCAGCCACACUGGGACUGAGACACGGCCCAGACUCCUACGGGAGGCAGCAGUGGGGAAUAUUGCACAAUGGGGGAGACCCUGAUGCAGCCAUGCCGCGUGUGUGAAGAAGGCCUUCGGGUUGUAAAGCACUUUCAGCAGUGAGGAAGGUCGUGUACUUAAUACGUGCACGGCUUGACGUUAGCUGCAGAAGAAGCACCGGCUAACUCCGUGCCAGCAGCCGCGGUAAUACGGAGGGUGCGAGCGUUAAUCGGAAUUACUGGGCGUAAAGCGCAUGCAGGCGGUUUGUUAAGUCAGAUGUGAAAGCCCGGGGCUCAACCUCGGAACCGCAUUUGAAACUGGCAGGCUAGAGUCUUGUAGAGGGGGGUAGAAUUUCAGGUGUAGCGGUGAAAUGCGUAGAGAUCUGAAGGAAUACCAGUGGCGAAGGCGGCCCCCUGGACAAAGACUGACGCUCAGAUGCGAAAGCGUGGGUAGCAAACAGGAUUAGAUACCCUGGUAGUCCACGCCGUAAACGCUGUCUACUUGGAGGUUGAGGUUUUAGACUUUGGCUUUCGGAGCUAACGCAUUAAGUAGACCGCCUGGGGAGUACGGCCGCAAGGUUAAAACUCAAAUGAAUUGACGGGGGNCCGCACAAGCGGUGGAGCAUGUGGUUUAAUUCGAUGCAACGCGAAGAACCUUACCUACUCUUGACAUCCAGCGAAGCCUUUAGAGAUAGAGGUGUGCCUUCGGGAGCGCUGAGACAGGUGCUGCAUGGCUGUCGUCAGCUCGUGUUGUGAAAUGUUGGGUUAAGUCCCGCAACGAGCGCAACCCUUAUCCUUGUUUGCCAGCACNUAAUGGUGGGAACUCCAGGGAGACUGCCGGUGAUAAACCGGAGGAAGGUGGGGACGACGUCAAGUCAUCAUGGCCCUUACGAGUAGGGCUACACACGUGCUACAAUGGCAGAUACAGAGGGCAGCGAGACAGCGAUGUUUAGCGAAUCCCUUAAAGUUUGUCGUAGUCCGGAUUGGAGUCUGCAACUCGACUCCAUGAAGUCGGAAUCGCUAGUAAUCGUGGAUCAGAAUGCCACGGUGAAUACGUUCCCGGGCCUUGUACACACCGCCCGUCACACCAUGGGAGUGGGCUGCACCAGAAGUAGAUAGCUUAACCUUCGGGAGGGCGUUUA
Molecule: ribosomal RNA, 1485 nt
Filed under: Salinivibrio costicola
Lineage: Bacteria; Pseudomonadati; Pseudomonadota; Gammaproteobacteria; Vibrionales; Vibrionaceae
Description: 16S ribosomal RNA
Rfam family: Bacterial small subunit ribosomal RNA
Source: RNAcentral